Molecule: ribosomal RNA, 253 nt
Filed under: uncultured bacterium
Lineage: Bacteria
Description: partial 16S ribosomal RNA
Rfam family: Bacterial small subunit ribosomal RNA
Source: RNAcentral
UACGUAGGGUGCGAGCGUUAAUCGGAAUUACUGGGCGUAAAGCGUGCGCAGGCGGCUUUGCAAGACAGAUGUGAAAUCCCCGGGCUCAACCUGGGAACUGCAUUUGUGAAUGCAAGGCUAGAGUACGGCAGAGGGGGAUGGAAUUCCGCGUGUAGCAGUGAAAUGCGUAGAUAUGCGGAGGAACACCAAUGGCGAAGGCAAUCCCCUGGGCCUGUACUGACGCUCAUGCACGAAAGCGUGGGGAGCAAACAGG